This 725-nucleotide ribosomal RNA is filed under the name uncultured bacterium. RNAcentral describes it as "bacterial SSU rRNA". It matches the Rfam family "Bacterial small subunit ribosomal RNA", at positions 1 to 718 of the family's 1533-position model. The record is from RNAcentral.
AAUUCGAUUAGAGUUUGAUCCUGGCUCAGAUUGAACGCUGGCGGCAUGCCUUACACAUGCAAGUCGAACGGCAGCACGGGAGCUUGCUCCUGGUGGCGAGUGGCGAACGGGUGAGUAAUACAUCGGAACGUACCCAGGAGUGGGGGAUAACGUAGCGAAAGUUACGCUAAUACCGCAUAUUCUGUGAGCAGGAAAGCGGGGGAUCGCAAGACCUCGCGCUCUUGGAGCGGCCGAUGUCGGAUUAGCUAGUUGGUGAGGUAAAAGCUCACCAAGGCGACGAUCCGUAGCAGGUCUGAGAGGAUGAUCUGCCACACUGGGACUGAGACACGGCCCAGACUCCUACGGGAGGCAGCAGUGGGGAAUUUUGGACAAUGGGGGCAACCCUGAUCCAGCCAUGCCGCGUGAGUGAAGAAGGCCUUCGGGUUGUAAAGCUCUUUCGGCGGGGAAGAAAUGGCAACGGCUAAUAUCCGUUGUUGAUGACGGUACCCGCAUAAGAAGCACCGGCUAACUACGUGCCAGCAGCCGCGGUAAUACGUAGGGUGCGAGCGUUAAUCGGAAUUACUGGGCGUAAAGCGUGCGCAGGCGGUUUCGUAAGACAGACGUGAAAUCCCCGGGCUCAACCUGGGAACUGCGUUUGUGACUGCGAGGCUAGAGUACGGCAGAGGGGGGUAGAAUUCCACGUGUAGCAGUGAAAUGCGUACAGAUGUGGAGGAAUACGAUGGCGA